Molecule: ribosomal RNA, 253 nt
Filed under: uncultured bacterium
Lineage: Bacteria
Description: partial 16S ribosomal RNA
Rfam family: Bacterial small subunit ribosomal RNA
Source: RNAcentral
GACAGAGGUGGCGAGCGUUGUUCGGAAUCACUGGGCUUAAAGGGCGAGUAGGCGGUAGGGCAAGUCUGAGGUGGAAUCCUAUGGCUCAACCAUAGAACUGCCUUGGAAACUGUUCUACUUGAGUCAGUGAGGGGAGGGCGGAAUUCCCGGUGUAGCGGUGAAAUGCGUAGAUAUCGGGAGGAAGGCCGGUGGCGAAGGGGGCCCUCUGGCGCUGUACUGACGCCGAGGCGCGACAGCGUGGGGAGCAAACAGG